CCUUUUCGGGGGGCCCUUUCAACGGCCCAAUUCUAAGAAUGUGGCCCUCAGAAUGGGAAUUUAGCUUAGUAGGGUGGGGGUAAUGGCUCACCUAGGCGACGAUCUCUAGCUGGUCUGAGAGGAUGACCAGCCACACUGGAACUGAGACACGGUCCAGACUCCUACGGGAGGCAGCAGUGGGGAAUAUUGCACAAUGGGCGCAAGCCUGAUGCAGCCAUGCCGCGUGUAUGAAGAAGGCCUUCGGGUUGUAAAGUACUUUUAGCGAGGAGGAAGGCAUUGUGGUUAAUAACCGCAGUGAUUGACGUUACUCGCAGAAGAAGCACCGGCUAACUCCGUGCCAGCAGCCGCGGUAAUACGGAGGGUGCAAGCGUUAAUCGGAAUUACUGGGCGUAAAGCGCACGCAGGCGGUUGAUUAAGUCAGAUGUGAAAUCCCCGAGCUUAACUUGGGAACUGCAUUUGAAACUGGUCAGCUAGAGUCUUGUAGAGGGGGGUAGAAUUCCAGGUGUAGCGGUGAAAUGCGUAGAGAUCUGGAGGAAUACCGGUGGCGAAGGCGGCCCCCUGGACAAAGACUGACGCUUCAGGUGCGNAAAGNCGUGGGGNGACAAACGAGCAUGANAUACCCUGGUAGUCCACGCUGUAACANGUNUGAUCGUUANGGUGUGUCCGCGAUAGCGGUGCGUGUCGCUGAGCUAAGAGNCUGUGNUGUGGUGGGACGCGGUCGGUUCCCUCGGUCUUCUUUUCUCNCNUCCUUUUCCCC
Molecule: ribosomal RNA, 757 nt
Filed under: Hafnia alvei
Lineage: Bacteria; Pseudomonadati; Pseudomonadota; Gammaproteobacteria; Enterobacterales; Hafniaceae
Description: bacterial SSU rRNA
Rfam family: Bacterial small subunit ribosomal RNA
Source: RNAcentral